This 142-nucleotide ribosomal RNA is filed under the name uncultured eukaryote. RNAcentral's name for it is "partial 18S ribosomal RNA". It matches the Rfam family "Eukaryotic small subunit ribosomal RNA", at positions 1299 to 1458 of the family's 1831-position model. The record is from RNAcentral.
UGGUGGAGUGAUUUGUCUGGUUAAUUCCGUUAACGAACGAGACCUCGACCUGCUAAAUAGUCUGGCGAACACUCCUGGGUUCGUACAACACUUCUUAGAGGGACUAUCGGUGUGUAGCCGAUGGAAGUUCGAGGCAAUAACA